This 526-nucleotide ribosomal RNA is filed under the name uncultured Flavobacterium sp. RNAcentral's name for it is "bacterial SSU rRNA". It matches the Rfam family "Bacterial small subunit ribosomal RNA", at positions 338 to 864 of the family's 1533-position model. Lineage: Bacteria; Pseudomonadati; Bacteroidota; Flavobacteriia; Flavobacteriales; Flavobacteriaceae. The record is from RNAcentral.
CCUACGGGAGGCAGCAGUGAGGAAUAUUGGACAAUGGGCGCAAGCCUGAUCCAGCCAUGCCGCGUGCAGGAUGACGGUCCUAUGGAUUGUAAACUGCUUUUGUACAGGAAGAAACCCUUUCACGUGUGAGAGAUUGACGGUACUGUAAGAAUAAGGAUCGGCUAACUCCGUGCCAGCAGCCGCGGUAAUACGGAGGAUCCAAGCGUUAUCCGGAAUCAUUGGGUUUAAAGGGUCCGUAGGCGGCCAGAUAAGUCAGUGGUGAAAGCCCAUCGCUCAACGGUGGAACGGCCAUUGAUACUGUCUGGCUUGAAUUACAAGGAAGUAACUAGAAUAUGUAGUGUAGCGGUGAAAUGCUUAGAGAUUACAUGGAAUACCAAUUGCGAAGGCAGGUUACUACUUGUGGAUUGACGCUGAUGGACGAAAGUCGUGGGUAGCGAACAGGAUUAGAUACCCUGGUAGUCCACGCCGUAAACGAUGGAUACUAGCUGUUGGGAGUAAUCUCCAGUGGCUACGCGAAACUGAUCAG